This is a long non-coding RNA of Columba livia (rock pigeon), 932 nucleotides long. RefSeq lists it as uncharacterized. The transcript is spliced from 4 exons. Lineage: Eukaryota; Metazoa; Chordata; Aves; Columbiformes; Columbidae. The record is from RefSeq and is a predicted model, not a curated record.
ACCCUCUUGAAAUUAUUUGGGCUUUCAGCAGCUGCUAGUGGUUUUGAGACCUUUGUGUUCCCUGUUUUCCUGGCAUGCUCCAGCUCUUUUGGCUGCACCUGUGUCCUCUCUGAAAGCAGCAGCCGUAGGCUGUGGUAGAUCUAAUGGGAGCCACAUGGUCAAAGCAGCUCAGCACUGAACACACCAGCCUGCUCCUUUUUUCUCCCUCUGGAUAUGAGCAUCUUAGAAGAGCUCCAACACAGGGAGGAAGUGGUUUCUGAGGCACUUGAGGUCAAGAGGCAAUCCUCCACCUCCAUUGGCUGAGUGGCUGCACUGAGAGAAUCAAGGCACAACCACAAUCUCUUGUUGUAGUCUGAUUGAACUGUGGUGGUAUUUUGCCUGUUCUGGACCUCCUGAGUGUUUUCCUCUCUAAGCAGAAGUGGGAGAGUGAAGGUGCUCUCCUGAGCCUGCGUCGGGCAGCACUGGUGUGUAACAGUGGCUUCUUCUGUUAUAUCGACCUUCAGCAGGAGCAAUGCGAGUAGCAAGACUUUUCCUGGAAUUCAGAAGUUAUGAUGAAGGCUGCAGUAACUUUCAGCAUCGGAAUUACCAACAGUGUAACAAUGGAUCAGGCCUGUUUCAUCACAUGUGGCAACACAAGAUUAAAUAUUGCUGUGACUCAACAUUGUCACGUCAGGUGUCCCAGCCUGAAGCCAGUGGAGCCAUUGCAAUAGCGAUGGCAUCUUCAUCUCCACCCUUUUGGCCUUGCUACUGGAGAACUGGAGACAUCCCUGCAUGAGUACCUUUGCAGAGCAUGAAAGGCACUUCUUUCCCCUCAAAGGUACAACUGGAGAGGAGUCUCACAUGGCUCUAUCCUCUUGAAUGUCACUGCUGCUCUACAGAAACACAGCUGCCUCUAUGUUUUCCUGACUGUUUCUAAGAUGAUCAUCAAGGAC